CCUUUGGCUUGUUGGAUGGCCAGUACAUGGACAGUGUACCUGAAACUGCUUACUUUGUCCCACACUCAGAGUGUCACUACUCGACUGCCUGACCAACACGACCCUGAGCAGCUUGAGGGACUAGAGUACGGAGGGCCAUGGCUCAGCUCUCUACACCCCUGUGUCCCCCAGCAGGUUCCUGACCAUGGAGGCCAGCGCUGUCCUCUACUCCCUACAAACAAUCCUCGAGUUCACAGAGACCCUGAAGCUCAUAGACUCAGACCCAGUGGCUUGGAGUGAGGUGCCCAGUUUCAGCCUGAAGGAAAUGACUUCGCCCCUGUAACAGGAAGUGAUGUCGUCUGUUUCCCAGGUGGGGAUGCCAGAAGGCGCUAGCUACCAUUUUGAUGAGUCAUACAUAAUUGACCUGAAUAAGAACUACACUGAGCUGAUGCCUGCCUCUUCACCCACCUUGACCAAGCUGAGCACACCUCCCUCCAUCCUGAAAAGGUGGAGGGAGAGGGGGAGCAGUCUCCUGCCAGUAAGUGUCACAGCACCUCCUCACCUAGGAUCUCUCCUGUCAAAGCACUGCCAUUCUCUCCAUCCCAGUUUUCCAACGUGUCUGAAGUUGAGGAUUUGACGUCCACCCCAGUGCUUGGUCACAAACAUGCCAACACCACCCCCCUCCACAAGGACUUAACACACAAGCAUUGGAAAGAGAAUGCUAGGACCCCCAAGGUUUGUAAAGCUGUCAUGCUUUCCAUGCCACUAACUCAAAAGCCCUUCAAGAUUGCCACGGCCACCCAAGAAAAGAUGCAGGGUCCGUUGAAAAUGAUGCUGCCCCAGUCCCUGGCCUACCUGGAGAAAGAGGUGCUGAGAGAGGAGAUUGAGGUGGAUAUAUUAAUUCAUGGAGUGACACAGGCUGGCUUCUGCUCCUCCUGGAAACAUGAUGUAUCCUAACCCCAUAACCAUCCGUAGAUAUUUGCACCC
RNAcentral lists this long non-coding RNA (966 nucleotides) under Salmo salar (Atlantic salmon). RNAcentral's name for it is "lncRNA (ENSSSAG00000079028.2)". The record is from RNAcentral. Lineage: Eukaryota; Metazoa; Chordata; Actinopteri; Salmoniformes; Salmonidae.